UACGUAGGCAGCGAGCGUUGUUCGGAAUUACUGGGCGUAAAGAGUGUGUAGGCGGUGCUCUAAGUUCGGUGUGAAAUCUCCCGGCUUAACUGGGAGGGUGCGCCGGAAACUGGAGUGCUCGAGCGUGGGAGAGGAAAGCGGAAUUCCUGGUGUAGCGGUGAAAUGCGUAGAUAUCAGGAGGAACACCUGCGGUGUAGACGGCUUUCUGGACCAUUGCUGACGCUGAGACUCGAAAGCGUGGGUAGCAAACAGG
RNAcentral lists this ribosomal RNA (253 nucleotides) under uncultured bacterium. RNAcentral's name for it is "partial 16S ribosomal RNA". It matches the Rfam family "Bacterial small subunit ribosomal RNA", at positions 524 to 776 of the family's 1533-position model. The record is from RNAcentral.